CGGUCCCAGCCAAACUGCCCGUGUUCAUGUCAUCGUCCAAGGGCACCAAGGUGAACCAGCAGGAGUUAGGUGUUUUGUGUUGCAGGAAACCUAUGCGAACACAUGGAGGAAGAAAGGGCCCAGUCAGCAUGGAUGCAAUGUGUCCCUAAAACACAGCUCUCUUGCUGCCGAAACCCAGAAUCGAACCAGAGACCUUGAGAUCCUUAGUUGAAUUGAUUAAAAAAAUCAUUGAUUCAUUUUACAAAUGACCAACAGAUUCACUGAUAAUGAAAAUAAUCACUAUAAUCACUGAAAUGACAUGUUUUCUAUAAGGUUGUGUUUUGUGAAAUGCUGUAGAGUUUUGUCUUUUGUUAAUUUGUUUUCUCAAAUGUUGUGCUUUGCAUCUCAGAGCUGCCGUACUCAUUAGAGCUUCAGUACAGCGCUCAAUCUAUCUGACCCCAA
Molecule: long non-coding RNA, 441 nt
Organism: Siniperca chuatsi (mandarin fish)
Lineage: Eukaryota; Metazoa; Chordata; Actinopteri; Centrarchiformes; Sinipercidae
Exons: 2
Source: RefSeq, a predicted model, not a curated record